UGAGAAGCAACAAACAACUCCAACUGUUUGGUUCGGGUAUAAACAAGAACUAGCUAUUACAGGGAUAUGUACAAGUAUGGAGAUAAGAAAAAUAACGUUUGGAUAGAUAAUGUGAAAUAAAAAAAAUAGUGGGUAGUUAUAUAUAGAAAAUGAAGGUGUUGGUGGGAAUAGUUAUAUCCGGUUAUUAUAGAUAAUCGAGAGCUGCUAUUCUCGGAUAAAAAAUUAGCGUUUGGAUAUAAAGGGGGAUAAGGGGUUAUCCCUGUCCCUAUCCCCCAUCCAAACA
RNAcentral lists this long non-coding RNA (283 nucleotides) under Ananas comosus (pineapple). RNAcentral's name for it is "long non-coding RNA (ACOM_LNC024008)". Lineage: Eukaryota; Viridiplantae; Streptophyta; Magnoliopsida; Poales; Bromeliaceae. The record is from RNAcentral.